GACGAACGCUGGCGGCGUGCUUAACACAUGCAAGUCGAACGGAAAGGCCCUGCUUUUGUGGGGUGCUCGAGUGGCGAACGGGUGAGUAACACGUGAGUAACCUGCCCUUGACUUUGGGGUAACUUCAGGAAACUGGGGCUAAUACCGGAUAGGAUCUCCUGCUUCAUGGUGGGGGUUGGAAAGUUUCGGCGGUUGGGGAUGGACUCGCGGCUUAUCAGCUUGUUGGUGGGGUAGUGGCUUACCAAGGCUUUGACCGGUAGCCGGCCUGAGAGGGUGACCGGAUAAAUCGGGAUGGAGAUGAGGCACGGACUAGUACGGGAGGCAGGGGUGGAGUAUAGAGCACAAUGGGAGGAAGGAUGGCGCAGCAACGCCGCGUGCGGGAUGACGGGAUUGGGGUAGUAAACCGAUGUCGCCUGUGACGAGGCGUGAGUGACGGUAAUGGGUAAAGAAGCACCGGCUAACUACGUG
This 468-nucleotide ribosomal RNA is filed under the name uncultured bacterium. RNAcentral describes it as "partial 16S ribosomal RNA". It matches the Rfam family "Bacterial small subunit ribosomal RNA", at positions 28 to 507 of the family's 1533-position model. The record is from RNAcentral.